AAGGAUCAUUAUCGAGUUUUGACUGGGUUGUAGCUGGCCUUCCGAGGCAUGUGCACGCCCUGCUCAUCCACUCUACACCUGUGCACUUACUGUGGGUUUUACGGGUCGUGAAAUUGGCUCGUUCAUUCGGGCUUGUUGAGCGCACUUGUUGCCUGCGUUUAUCACAAACUCCAUAAAGUAUUAGAAUGUGUAUUGCGAUGUAACGCAUCUAUAUACAACUUUCAGCAACGGAUCUCUUGGCUCUCGCAUCGAUGAAGAACGCAGCGAAAUGCGAUAAGUAAUGUGAAUUGCAGAAUUCAGUGAAUCAUCGAAUCUUUGAACGCACCUUGCGCUCCUUGGUAUUCCGAGGAGCAUGCCUGUUUGAGUGUCAUGAAAUCUUCAAUCUACAAGCUUCUUAUGUGAGUUUGUAGGCUUGGACUUGGAGGCUUGUCGGUCCUUUACAGGUCGGCUCCUCUCAAAUGCAUUAGCUUGGUUCCUUGCGGAUCGGCUUGUCGGUGUGAUAAUGUCUACGCCGGGACCGUGAAGCGUGUUUGGGCGAGCUUCUAACCGUCUCGUUACGGAGACAACUUUAUGACCUCUGACCUCAAAUCAGGUAGGACUACCCGCUGAACUUAA
RNAcentral lists this ribosomal RNA (615 nucleotides) under Ganoderma lobatum. RNAcentral describes it as "eukaryotic LSU rRNA". The stretch from base 217 to 370 matches the Rfam family "5.8S ribosomal RNA". The record is from RNAcentral. Lineage: Eukaryota; Fungi; Basidiomycota; Agaricomycetes; Polyporales; Polyporaceae.